UCAACUUCUCAGCCUCUGAACGUAAGACAACAACAACAUGGGCAAUAUUUACGGUCAACUACAAAUACCAGCCACAGCCUAUCGUCUGCAGAUACUAUUCCAGAUGUAAGGAGCAGUACACCAGAUACAGCUGUUGGAAGAAGCUCUGCAGAUGUUGGACGUCUCUUCAGAGCCAUGGUGACCGAAUCAGCACCACUUUUCGAUGAUAUCGCUGAGGAGGAUGAUUCAUCAAGAGAGGUGAUUCUGAAUCUUGUUCCAGCACCAGAGGGUAGAUCACCAGAAAGUGGAAGCCUGACUCCUGACCUAACACAGAUGGCACAAGAUAAGGAUUUGGAUAUACAUGAGCCUGUUAUAA
This is a long non-coding RNA of Bombina bombina (fire-bellied toad), 355 nucleotides long. RefSeq lists it as uncharacterized. The record is from RefSeq and is a predicted model, not a curated record. The transcript has 3 exons. NCBI's taxonomy places the organism in Eukaryota, Metazoa, Chordata, Amphibia, Anura, Bombinatoridae.